Molecule: non-coding RNA, 669 nt
Organism: Manis javanica (Malayan pangolin)
Lineage: Eukaryota; Metazoa; Chordata; Mammalia; Pholidota; Manidae
Source: RefSeq, a predicted model, not a curated record
GAAGAAACAUUGCUCCUUCCUGCCCUACAUAUGCUCUCCCUGGCUGCACAGAGGAGUGGAUGUGGCUAUGGACCUUGGUGUUUGAAGGACCUCCAUGGGUCACAUUGUAUGAGGAAGACUGGUUAAAUCUAUCUCCCCAGGUUCCUUCUCAGGGGAAGAUGUAGAAGAUAUCGAAGCUGUCUGGAGCCACUCAGAAAGAUCGCCAGCGACAUUGAAGUUGCAAACCAGCAAGAUUUGUCAGAUUAUCACCUUCUGCCUUUAUCUAUUCUGAAGAUACUUGAAGUCCAAUAUCUAGAAAUAUUCUCACCUGGAUGCCUUUGAACCUCAGAACCUGGGACUGCUCUACACAUUAACCAUCAUUUGUCUUUAACAUCCAUAGAGAUGCCACCUAAAAUAUAAAAUAUACCUGAUUGUCUGCACACUAUUGUCCUAACUUUGGCAGCUGACUUGCAUCACACCCUCCUUUAAAGAGUUUAACAGAAGUGACCUAGUGUCAGGAUUAAGAGUCUACUUCACUGUGAUAGAGCAAGGUACCAACCCAACUUUUGGACUGGGCAUCUACUGGGAAACUGGAAAAUUUCAAAGGUGGGAAUGAGCAGGAGCAGAAGACUUCACCCUAGAAUAUGCCAUGUUGGCAUGUGAAUUUUUUUGAGCUUAAGGCAAUUAAGA